RNAcentral lists this transfer RNA (72 nucleotides) under Camelus ferus (Wild Bactrian camel). It matches the Rfam family "tRNA". Rfam says of the family: Transfer RNA (tRNA) molecules are approximately 80 nucleotides in length. Their secondary structure includes four short double-helical elements and three loops (D, anti-codon, and T loops). The record is from Rfam by way of RNAcentral. Lineage: Eukaryota; Metazoa; Chordata; Mammalia; Artiodactyla; Camelidae.
GAGGGUAUAGCUCAAGCGGUAGAGUGCAUGCUUAGCAAGCACAAGGUCCUGGGUUCAAUCCCUGUUACCUCC